RNAcentral lists this ribosomal RNA (257 nucleotides) under uncultured bacterium. Its description in RNAcentral is "partial 16S ribosomal RNA". The record is from RNAcentral.
CUGCUGCCUCCCGUAGGAGUUUGGGCCGUGUCUCAGUCCCAAUGUGGCCGUCCACCCUCUCAGGCCGGCUACUGAUCGCUGCCUUGGUGGGCCGUUACCCCGCCAACUAGCUAAUCAGACGCGGAUCCAUCGUAUACCACCGGAUUUUUCACACUGCCCCAUGCGGAGCCGUGCGCUUAUGCGGUAUUAGCACCUAUUUCUAAGUGUUAUCCCCCGGUAUACGGCAGGUUAUCCACGCGUUACUCACCCGUCCGCCA